GAAGCAAAGUCUGCUACUGAUUGAUUCGAAAAGACUCAUUGCAUAAUUUCAACAAACCUUGAUGUAUUGACACAAAGAAAUGAAAGUUUCUUCCAACAAAUGAAAAAGUUGUUCCCAUGUGCUUCUCCUACUGAAGAAAACGGGUUAAUCGCAUUAAUACUGGAUCAGGAGAGUUGGAUUCCGGAAAACCCGAAACCAUCCUAAGUUACUGUCGGAUACGUAGUGCGAUGAGUUUAUAUCUGAAUUCGAUAUACAGCGAGCAUUUGGGUGCUUCACAAAGCAACGAACUGAAAGUAAGCAACGGUACUAUUAUUCCGUGAGUAGACCGUCGUAGUAUUACGUGUGGCAAUAAAAAUUGGGUUUCUACCAGCGAUACGUAAGCUUCUUUAAUCAUAUCUUUGGCACAAUGUUCAUUCCAAAGCAACGUUUUGAGAGGCAUGUUGUUACCCCACAGCAAGAAGGUACUACACAGAUUAUUAUCUCACAGUGGAAACGGAAGUUAACAUAAAACAAAGUUCUACCUUCCCGUCGGAAGCAUCUAUAUGAACGCUUGAAUGUAUGAAAAACUACGUCUAUAUGAUCUGAUGACGUUAGAAUGACACAAUUCUAAAUCUUCCUGCUCUAUUAGCGGCCUUCAAUGGACGUGAUUUCGUCGCCGAACACCAGAAAACGGUCGUCAAUCAUUUGAUCGUGAUUGUAAACAGAAAAGACCUUGGGAAGGACAUUUGUGACGAAUACAUCUCUGUACUCGCCUAGAAUAAAAUUGAAUCAAAGAUGAAUGACGAUGUAACUGGGGGAUCCCUCUAAACGGAACUCCAAGUUGUUUCUCCAGGCAAAAACACCUUUAAUCCUGACGCGAAAAAAUGGUGGUAUCGAUGCUUUCUAAUAAUCAUCUUUAGCACGAGCCGUACAAAAACGUCUCGCAGCGAUAGUCAACACAUGCGCGUACGAGUAGAUUCAGAUCACGCCAACCUUUCAAUAUCAUGGGUCACAAUUUGCAGCUUUUUGUACAAGCGUGUGCGGAUUAUUUCCUCGUCCUUAAGUAACAGGAAACCAAAACCACAUAUUCUGUUCCUCAAAUCGGCCCUGUAAUCGAUGGUGUCGGCAGACGAAUCGAAAACUCAAAUGGCACUCCAUGGACUUUCAAAACAUUACACAAAAUAAUAUGACGUUUAUCGGAAGGGUCAAAGGUCGGUGAUGGGCAGCAUAUGCCCUGCAAAAAAUAAAAUUGCAUUCACUCCCUGAAAUAAUGCUAGUGAGUCAAUAAAAUUGCUUUUGCUU
Topomyia yanbarensis is the source of this 1281-nucleotide long non-coding RNA. RefSeq lists it as uncharacterized. Lineage: Eukaryota; Metazoa; Arthropoda; Insecta; Diptera; Culicidae. The record is from RefSeq and is a predicted model, not a curated record. The transcript is spliced from 3 exons.